AUUCAUCCUGCUAUCCUCAGCUCACACCCUCUAUCCCUCUGCCAAUCUUCUUGUUGUUUUGCUCAGUAAUGCUUUCUUUUAGAAAUUGCUCAGUUUCCCUGGAAAGGGGUUAUUGAAUUCCAAUGAUGGCUGCCCUUGUUGCUCUGGAGGGAACUCCCCACUUCCAGGGCUCUGUGACUCCAUCUUUGGAGAAUGCUGCUCUCUCUGUGAGAGGGUAAAACAGCUGCUCCUGGCUGAGGCUGCUCAGCUGGCAGAAGGUGGAGCUUCAGGCAAAGUCAGAGCCGAGGGGGGCCCUGCCCUGGGCGUGGCAGGAACCCUGUGUUGUCGGGUGAGGUUUGGACAGCAGGCUGUGGCUCAGCUGUUAGGAUGCCCACUUGCCAUGGUUGACAUGGACUCUCCUGAAGUUGCGAGCAGACACAUUCAUUCUGUGGACAUCUCUUGAUUCCUUGGUGUGACAGAGAGGUACCGGUGAUAGAGGUGCCAGGGCUUUGGGCCCAUUUGGCUGAGGAUACAUUGAAAUUAAUAUUUUCAUUCUAUAAUGUGCUUUCUGCUCAAAUAUGAGCACUUGAGUUCUUUCCCACCCGGCACCCACAUAAAAUGCCAGGCAUGAUGGUGGCACUGUCGUAAGUUACGCACCAGCUCACAUACAGCGUGUGACGCUGAGGAACAGCCCUUCUGAGGCUUGCUUAGGAUGACGUCACUGACCACCCACCCUUGUUAGUUGUGUCCAUCUUGUCUCUGUGGCUUUAAACAAGGUAUUUUGCUGCUGAGAAAGUGUGGUCCGUCCAAUUCCAGACUUUAACAAAGACCGCCCAGUCUGCUGCAAAAUAUAAUUUCCCCCAAUGAAGGGUUGCUUUACAAGAAAACAGUGCGUGAUAGUUAUCCCUUGUCCCUUGCCCUGCCUGGACUUCAUUGCAGUCCCUCCCGAGGAGUUCUAUGUCCUUCAAACCUUGCAGUUGGAGAUAGGGGUGUGUAGUGCACGCUCACCUCUGGACUCUCAACUCUCAUAACCACCUUGGGAGAUAGUUGACGUUGUUCCUUGAUUGGCUUAUUGAGUGACUGUGGAGACAGGGUCUUGUGGUGUUGCCCAGGCUGGCUUCAAAUUCAUGAUCCUCCUGCCUCAGCAUCCUAAGUGCUGAGAUUGACUAUAGGUGUGCACCACCACACACAACUUGCCUGGUUUUAGAGCUAGAAGAUACAUUUUACGAUUAAGAAACUCAAUCAAGGCCACACUGGUCAUGAGUAGUGAGGUCAUGCUGAGGCAGGGUUUCCCACUGACCAGGGCUCAGCAAAUUUACCAUUGAGCCAGACUUGUCCCACCCUCUGUUGUACAUAAUGCUAACAGGGACAGCCAUACCCACUGAUGUAUUUGUCAGUGGCUGAAGGGGUGGGCCGCCCUCCUGAAGGGCUUUGGGAGUAGCAAAACACUCAUUUUCGCAGCAAGGCUUUAGGGUUCCGAGACCUAAGGAAGGUCCAGCAUGCCUCCUGGAGGGUCAGGAGUGUUAGGCCGCAAAAAUGUGAUCCGCUCGCAGACAGGCCCAUGAAACAGAUGUUUGGACAUGCUGGAUUACCCAGAGGUAAUUCCUGAGGGCUCUAGAAUGUUCCUGGCCGGAAUCUGAAGAGCUGAUUUGUGAUUCUAGACUCACAGGCUCAGAGGAUGGUUGCCUGAUGGUGAUGUCAUCCCGGGAAACAGGCCCUGGCAGAGGCAAACGGUUCAGGCAGUUUGGGGACUUCCUAAAAUAACAAAGCUGAAGUGUUUGCACUAGACUUCCUGGAGGUGAAAGACUCUUCUGAAAAUGAUCUAAGGACGCGU
This 1813-nucleotide long non-coding RNA is filed under the name Mus musculus (house mouse). RNAcentral's name for it is "long non-coding RNA chr9:121346555-121348368". The record is from RNAcentral. Lineage: Eukaryota; Metazoa; Chordata; Mammalia; Rodentia; Muridae.